CCAAUAGCGUAUAUUAAAGUUGUUGCAGUUAAAAAGCUCGUAGUUGAACUUCGGGGUCUACCCAUUGGUCAGGCUUAAUUGUCUGCACUGGUCAGAUGGAUCUCUACCUUCUGAGGAACUUUCAUGCCAUUUAUUUGGUGUGGUUGGAAAUCAGGACUGUUACUUUGAAAAAAUUAGAGUGUUUAAAGCAGACUAUCGUCUGAAUACAUUAGCAUGGAAUAAUGAAAUAGGACGGACUGAUUCUAUUUCGUUGGUUUCUAGGAUCACCGUAAUGAUUAAUAGGGAUAGUUGGGGGCAUUAGUAUUCAAUUGUCAGAGGUGAAAUUCUUGGAUUUAUUGAAGACUAACUACUGCGAAAGCAUUUGCCAAGGAUGUUUUCAUUAAUCAAGAACGAAAGUUAGGGGAUCGAAGACGAUCAGAUACCGUCGUAGUCUUAACCAUAAACUAUGCCGACUAGGGAUCGGACGAAGUUAAUUUUAUAAUGACGCGUUCGGCACCUUACG
RNAcentral lists this ribosomal RNA (502 nucleotides) under uncultured Glomeromycotina. RNAcentral describes it as "partial small subunit ribosomal RNA". It matches the Rfam family "Eukaryotic small subunit ribosomal RNA", at positions 591 to 1092 of the family's 1831-position model. Lineage: Eukaryota; Fungi; Glomeromycota. The record is from RNAcentral.